Molecule: transfer RNA, 72 nt
Filed under: Chryseobacterium sp. 52
Lineage: Bacteria; Pseudomonadati; Bacteroidota; Flavobacteriia; Flavobacteriales; Weeksellaceae
Description: tRNA-Asn
Rfam family: tRNA
About the family: Transfer RNA (tRNA) molecules are approximately 80 nucleotides in length. Their secondary structure includes four short double-helical elements and three loops (D, anti-codon, and T loops).
Source: RNAcentral
GAUUUUGUAGCUCAAUGGUAGAGCAACGGCCUGUUAAGCCGAAGGUUGAAAGUUCGAAUCUUUCCAGAAUCG